UGGGCAACCUGCCCCUCUCUCUGGGAUAACCCCCGGGAAACCGGAGCUAAUACCGGAUACUCCGGCUGGAUCGCAUGGUCCGGCCGGGAAAGGUCCGCCGGAGAGGGAUGGGCCCGCGGCCUAUCAGCUUGUUGGUGGGGUCAUGGCCCACCAAGGCGACGACGGGUAGCCGGCCUGAGAGGGCGACCGGCCACACUGGGACUGAGACACGGCCCAGACUCCUACGGGAGCA
RNAcentral lists this ribosomal RNA (232 nucleotides) under uncultured bacterium. Its description in RNAcentral is "partial 16S ribosomal RNA". It matches the Rfam family "Bacterial small subunit ribosomal RNA", at positions 118 to 347 of the family's 1533-position model. The record is from RNAcentral.